AGAAUCAACGCUGGCGGCGUGCCUAACACAUGCAAGUCGCACGAGAAAGGGGAGCAAUCCCUGAGUACAGUGGCGGCACGGGUGAGUAACACGUGAAUAAUCUACCUCCGAGUGGGGAAUAACUGAGAGAAAUCUUAGCUAAUACCGCAUAACACUUACGAGUCAAAGCAGCAAUGCGCUUGGAGAGGAGUUCGCGGCCGAUUAGUUAGUUGGCGGGGUAAUGGCCCACCAAGACGAUGAUCGGUA
Molecule: ribosomal RNA, 246 nt
Filed under: uncultured bacterium
Lineage: Bacteria
Description: partial small subunit ribosomal RNA
Rfam family: Bacterial small subunit ribosomal RNA
Source: RNAcentral